This 108-nucleotide transfer RNA is filed under the name Candidatus Woesearchaeota archaeon. Its description in RNAcentral is "tRNA-Ile". The stretch from base 43 to 108 matches the Rfam family "tRNA". Rfam says of the family: Transfer RNA (tRNA) molecules are approximately 80 nucleotides in length. Their secondary structure includes four short double-helical elements and three loops (D, anti-codon, and T loops). Lineage: Archaea; Nanobdellati; Candidatus Woesearchaeota. The record is from RNAcentral.
GGGCCCGUAGCUUAGCCUGGCCGUAUGGACUGGGUCAUUCCAGGACGCGGGCAAUGGAGCGCACGACUGAUAAUCGUGAGGUCCCGUGUUCGAAUCACGGCGGGCCCA